This 1915-nucleotide long non-coding RNA is filed under the name Salmo salar (Atlantic salmon). RNAcentral's name for it is "lncRNA (ENSSSAG00000055673.2)". Lineage: Eukaryota; Metazoa; Chordata; Actinopteri; Salmoniformes; Salmonidae. The record is from RNAcentral.
CUGAUAUGUCAAAGUGCUGUACAGAAACCCAGCCUAAAACCCCAAACAGCAAGCAAUGCAGGUGUAGAAGCACGGUGGCUAGGAAAAACUCCCUAGAAAGGCCAAAACCUAGGAAGAAACCUAGAGAGGAACCAGGCUAUGAGGGGUGGCCAGUCCUCUUCUGGCUGUGCCGCGUGGAGAUUAUAACAGCACAUGGCCAAGAUGUUCAAAUGUUCAUAAAUGACCAGCAUGGUCAAAUAAUAAUAAUCAUAGUAGUUGUCGAGGGUGCAACAUGUCAGUAACACAAGAGUAAGGGUCAGUUGGCUUUUUCAUAGCCGAUCUUUGAGAGUAUCUCUACCGCUCCUGCUGUCUCUAGAGAGUUGAAAACAGCAGGUCUGGGACAGGUAGCACGUCCGGUGAAUAGGUCAGGGUUCCAGCAGGUCUGGGACAGUUGGAACUGGAGCAGCAGCACGGCCAGGUGAACUGGGAACAGCAAGGAGUCAUCAAGCCAGGUAGUCCUGAGGCAUGGUCCUAGGGCUCAGGUCCUCCGAGAGAGAGAAAGAAAGAAAGAAAGAGAAAAUUAGAGAGAGCAUACUUAAAUUCACACAGGACACCGGAAAAGACAAGAGAAAUACUCCAGAUGUGACAGACUGACCCUAGCCCCCCGACACAUAAACUACUGCAGCAUAAAUACUGGAGGCUGAGACAGGAGGGGUCAGGAGACACUGUGGCCCUGUACCAGUCAAAAGUUUGGACACACCUACUCAUUCAAGGGUUCUUCUUUCUUUUUACUAUUUUCUAUAUUGUUUUUAUUUUUUACUAUUUUCUACAGAUAUGAAAUCAUGUAGUAACCCAAAAAGUGUUAAACACAUAUUUGAUAUUCUUCAAAGUAGCCACCCUGUGCCGUGAUGACAGCUUUGCACACUCUUGGCGCGUCAUGAUGUCAAGGAAAGAGGCACUGAGUUUGAAGGUAGGCCUUGAAAUACAACCACAGGUACACAUCCAAUUGACUCAAAUUAUGUCAAUUAGCCUAUCAGAAGCUUCUAAAGCCAUGACAUCCUUUUCUGGUAUUUUCCAAGCUGUUUAAAGGCACAGUCAACUUAGUGUAUGUAAACUUCUGACCCACUGGAAUUGUGAUACAGUGAGUUAUAAGUGAAAUAAUCUGUCUGUAAACAAUUGUUGGAAAAAUUACUUGUGUCAUGCACGAAGUAGAUGUCCUAACCGACUUGCCAAAACUAUAGUUUGUUAACAAGACAUUUGUGGAGUGGUUGAAAAACUAGUUUUAAUGACUCCAACUUAAGUGUAUGUAAACUUCCGACUUCAACUGUAUGUACAAUACAUGACAAUUUUGAGGUGCGCUUUGUUUGCAUUUUUGAGACUAAUCCAUAGGUUCUAUUGGACCAGGUAAACAAAUCAAGCAGAGCAUUGGUAUUUGAAAAUAUUCAACAGAAGGUCUGCCUUGAUUUUUUAUUCCUUUUUUGUGCAUCACCCCUCUCUCCCUCCUGUAUUUCGAUCCCUCCAUCCUCCUCUCCCUAGAUGGUUGGGAGCCGGCAGCACCUGCAGAAAGACUUCUUCCUCUACAAUACCUCCAAGGCCAGUGCAAAUCCUACAUUAAAAUCUGCACGAGGUGAGCGAGCGCUUCUGCCUGCCCCCCGAGGAGAACGUGAUCAUCCCUUCAACCUUCGACCCCCACGAGUAAGGAGAAGAACAGCACCUCAGAGUAACUGUGAGGGGAGGGAGAGUGGGGUUAGGGAGUAUAUCUAUGAAUUAGUGUGCGAGACAGUCUGUCUCUAGCUUUUUCCUUUAAUGAGUCAGACGAGAAAGAUAUACUGCUUUCCCGGGAACAGGCCCAGAUCCACGUAAUUUGCGUAAAGAAAAGACGAAGGAAAAGAGGACGCAGAUCAGGCUGCCUUUUGAGAAUCCGUAGGUGAGCGAG